This is a non-coding RNA of Vermiconidia calcicola, 149 nucleotides long. The record is from the annotation of a GenBank genome assembly. NCBI's taxonomy places the organism in Eukaryota, Fungi, Ascomycota, Dothideomycetes, Mycosphaerellales, Extremaceae.
GGGGGAUUGGCGCAAUGGUAGCGCGUGGUAUGUCAUACCCGCUUGUCUUCUCUAGAACUCAUUUCUAAUUUAUCUUGUUAGGCUCUCCUACUUGAUCGAUAGAUCUUGUCGUGAAGCCAAGGUUGAGGGUUCGAGUCCCUUGUUCCUCG